UUAAGUCCUCUUUGCCUAGUCCAUAGGGUUCUGGGCAUUUGUGUAAGAAUUGGAGAACAAGGUAGGUAGUUUAUUUGCUGGAAGCAGUUUCUUUGUAUCAACCUCAGGUUCCUGGCCACAGUGGAUGUAGAAAAGUGCCUAAGUCCUAACGGAUUUCAGAAGGAAAAAAAUUAAGAAUUCCUAAUGAUUCCAUUUCUGUAUGUAAAUUCCAAAAGGAUCCAUUGAUUAUUUUUCUUUGUUUAUUCAUCUGAUUGCUAUCCUUUGAAUUUUUUACAUAUAGGGGGAAUUCUUCUAGGUUGAAAGACUGUGGGAAACUUGUAGGCUUCUAUUUUUCAAAACUUACUCUAAUAACAAUUCUUAAAUGCUUCAACCAUCAAAGAUAGGGGAGGAAAUGGCUAAUAGGACAAGGGGGACAUGGGCCUGUUUAGAAGUAGUUCCUUGGGGUGGUCCCAGUCUUCACUGUCUAUAAUUCAGUCCACUAGCAAAACACCAAAUACAAAUUAACAGCAGUGGCUUGAUCCAGAAGAAACUGUGAGGUUCUACAGAUUGGUGUGGUACCCCAAAGCAGCAAGGGGAAACCAGCAAGAAGUAACCAGAAUACCACCAGAAGUUCUUUGGUAUCCUUCUCUCUAUGAAGUCACAACAAGUGAAGAUUAGCAAAGAAAGCAAGGUGAUCCAAUGCCAGAGAGUCAUCAGUGGUCUGUUGGGUUAUACUUAUACUCUUUCCAAACAUAGUAUGUUCUUUCAAGCAUCCACUCCAUCAAAACAUCAAAUGCCCUUCACCAGACAGCUUCACCAUGUGUCUGUUCUCAGCCAAACAUCCUCUCAUGUAUCUACUAGAGCAAAACAUCCUCCCAUAUGUCUGCUUGAGCAAAACAUUCUCUCAUAAGACCAUUUCCAGAAAAACAAC
This 910-nucleotide long non-coding RNA is filed under the name Rattus norvegicus (Norway rat). RNAcentral's name for it is "long non-coding RNA NONRATT026980". Lineage: Eukaryota; Metazoa; Chordata; Mammalia; Rodentia; Muridae. The record is from RNAcentral.